GACGAACGCUGGCGGCGUGCUUAACACAUGCAAGUCGAGCGGUAAGGCCCUUUCGGGGGUACGACGAGCGGCGAACGGGUGAGUAACACGUGGGUGACCUGCCCUCAGCUCUGGGAUAAGCCUGGGAAACCGGGUCUAAUACUGGAUAUGACUCCAUGACGCAUGUUGUGGGGUGGAAAGCCUUGUGCGGCUGAGGAUGGGCCCGCGGCCUAUCAGCUUGUUGGUGGGGNGAUGGCCUACCAAGGCGACGACGGGUAGCCGGCCUGAGAGGGCGACCGGCCACACUGGGACUGAGACACGGCCCAGACUCCUACGGGAGGGCAGCAGUGGGGAAUCUUGCGCAAUGGGCGAAAGCCUGACGCAGCGACGCCGCGUGAGGGAUGACGGCCUGUGUAAC
This 397-nucleotide ribosomal RNA is filed under the name uncultured bacterium. RNAcentral describes it as "bacterial SSU rRNA". It matches the Rfam family "Bacterial small subunit ribosomal RNA", at positions 28 to 429 of the family's 1533-position model. The record is from RNAcentral.